AUUGAACGCUGGCGGCAUGCCUUACACAUGCAAGUCGAACGGCAGCACGGGAGCAAUCCUGGUGGCGAGUGGCGAACGGGUGAGUAAUAUAUCGGAACGUGCCCAGUCGUGGGGAUAACGUAGCGAAAGCUACGCUAAUACCGCAUACGAUCUAUGGAUGAAAGCGGGGGAUCGCAAGACCUCGCGCGAUUGGAGCGGCCGAUAUCAGAUUAGGUAGUUGGUGAGGUAAAGGCUCACCAAGCCGACGAUCUGUAGCUGGUCUGAGAGGACGACCAGCCACACUGGGACUGAGACACGGCCCAGACUCCUACGGGAGGCAGCAGUGGGGAAUUUUUGGACAAUGGGCGCAAAGCCUGAUCCAGCAAUG
Molecule: ribosomal RNA, 367 nt
Filed under: uncultured bacterium
Lineage: Bacteria
Description: bacterial SSU rRNA
Rfam family: Bacterial small subunit ribosomal RNA
Source: RNAcentral